GGAUAGCUCAGUUGGUUAGAGUGUGUUGCUGAUAUCUCCAAGGUCGCAGGUUCAAUCCCCCUAAGGGACA
Molecule: non-coding RNA, 70 nt
Organism: Podarcis lilfordi (Lilford's wall lizard)
Lineage: Eukaryota; Metazoa; Chordata; Lepidosauria; Squamata; Lacertidae
Source: the annotation of a GenBank genome assembly